This 648-nucleotide ribosomal RNA is filed under the name uncultured Bacilli bacterium. RNAcentral describes it as "bacterial SSU rRNA". It matches the Rfam family "Bacterial small subunit ribosomal RNA", at positions 88 to 724 of the family's 1533-position model. Lineage: Bacteria; Bacillati; Bacillota; Bacilli. The record is from RNAcentral.
CGGAUGAGUUGCGAACGGGUGAGUAACGCGUAGGUAACCUGCCUCUUAGCGGGGGAUAACUAUUGGAAACGAUAGCUAAUACCGCAUAAAAGUCGACAUUGCAUGAUGUUGACUUGAAAGGUGCAAUUGCAUCACUAAGAGAUGGACCUGCGUUGUAUUAGCUAGUUGGUGAGGUAACGGCUCACCAAGGCGACGAUACAUAGCCGACCUGAGAGGGUGAUCGGCCACACUGGGACUGAGACACGGCCCAGACUCCUACGGGAGGCAGCAGUAGGGAAUCUUCGGCAAUGGGGGCAACCCUGACCGAGCAACGCCGCGUGAGUGAAGAAGGUUUUCGGAUCGUAAAGCUCUGUUGUAAGAGAAGAACGAGUGUGAGAGUGGAAAGUUCACACUGUGACGGUAACUUACCAGAAAGGGACGGCUAACUACGUGCCAGCAGCCGCGGUAAUACGUAGGUCCCGAGCGUUAUCCGGAUUUAUUGGGCGUAAAGCGAGCGCAGGCGGUUAGAUAAGUCUGAAGUUAAAGGCUGUGGCUUAACCAUAGUACGCUUUGGAAACUGUUUAACUUGAGUGCAGAAGGGGAGAGUGGAAUUCCAUGUGUAGCGGUGAAAUGCGUAGAUAUAUGGAGGAACACCGGUGGCGAAAGCGG